This 257-nucleotide ribosomal RNA is filed under the name uncultured bacterium. RNAcentral describes it as "partial 16S ribosomal RNA". It matches the Rfam family "Bacterial small subunit ribosomal RNA", at positions 793 to 1055 of the family's 1533-position model. The record is from RNAcentral.
GUCCACGCCGUAAACGAUGCUAACUCGUUUUUGGGCUUUCGGGUUCAGAGACUAAGCGAAAGUGAUAAGUUAGCCACCUGGGGAGUACGUUCGCAAGAAUGAAACUCAAAGGAAUUGACGGGGGCCCGCACAAGCGGUGGAGCAUGUGGUUUAAUUCGAUGAUACGCGAGGAACCUUACCAAGACUUAAAUGGGAAUUGAUCGGUUUAGAAAUAGACCUUCCUUCGGGCAAUUUUCAAGGUGCUGCAUGGUUGUCGU